GUUCCCGGGCCUUGUACACACCGCCCGUCACACCAUGAGAGUUUGUAACACCCAAAGUCGGUGGGGUAACCUUUUAGGAACCAGCCGCCUAAGGUGGGACAGAUGAUUAGGGUGAAGUCGUAACAAGGUAGCCGUAGGAGAACCUGCGGCUGGAUCACCUCCUUU
RNAcentral lists this ribosomal RNA (165 nucleotides) under Lactiplantibacillus plantarum. RNAcentral describes it as "Lactobacillus plantarum partial 16S ribosomal RNA". It matches the Rfam family "Bacterial small subunit ribosomal RNA", at positions 1370 to 1533 of the family's 1533-position model. Lineage: Bacteria; Bacillati; Bacillota; Bacilli; Lactobacillales; Lactobacillaceae. The record is from RNAcentral.